UGAGGAAUAUUGGUCAAUGGACGAGAGUCUGAACCAGCCAAGUAGCGUGAAGGAUGACUGCCCUAUGGGUUGUAAACUUCUUUUAUACGGGAAUAAAGUGAGGCACGUGUGCCUUUUUGUAUGUACCGUAUGAAUAAGGAUCGGCUAACUCCGUGCCAGCAGCCGCGGUAAUACGGAGGAUCCGAGCGUUAUCCGGAUUUAUUGGGUUUAAAGGGAGCGUAGGCGGACGCUUAAGUCAGUUGUGAAAGUUUGCGGCUCAACCGUAAAAUUGCAGUUGAUACUGGGUGUCUUGAGUACAGUAGAGGCAGGCGGAAUUCGUGGUGUAGCGGUGAAAUGCUUAGAUAUCACGAAGAACUCCGAUUGCGAAGGCAGCUUGCUGGACUGUAACUGACGCUGAUGCUCGAAAGUGUGGGUAUCAAACAGGAUUAGAUACCCUGGUAGUCCACACAGUAAACGAUGAAUACUCGCUGUUUGCGAUAUACAGUAAGCGGCCAAGCGAAAGCGUUAAGUAUUCCACCUGGGGAGUACGCCGGCAACGGUGAAACUCAAAGGAAUUGACGGGGGCCCGCACAAGCGGAGGAACAUGUGGUUUAAUUCGAUGAUACGCGAGGAACCUUACCCGGGCUUGAAUUGCAACUGAAUGAUGUGGAGACAUGUCAGCCGCAAGGCAGUUGUGAAGGUGCUGCAUGGUUGUCGUCAGCUCGUGCCGUGAGGUGUCGGCUUAAGUGCCAUAACGAGCGCAACCCUCAUCGAUAGUUACCAUCAGGUUAUGCUGGGGACUCUGUCGAGACUGCCGUCGUAAGAUGUGAGGAAGGUGGGGAUGACGUCAAAUCAGCACGGCCCUUACGUCCGGGGCUACACACGUGUUACAAUGGGGGGUACAGAAGGCAGCUACACGGCGACGUGAUGCUAAUCCCGAAAGCCUCUCUCAGUUCGGAUUGGAGUCUGCAACCCGACUCCAUGAAGCUGGAUUCGCUAGUAAUCGCGCAUCAGCCACGGCGCGGUGAAUACGUUCCC
Molecule: ribosomal RNA, 1017 nt
Filed under: uncultured bacterium
Lineage: Bacteria
Also listed under: 1 other name
Description: bacterial SSU rRNA
Rfam family: Bacterial small subunit ribosomal RNA
Source: RNAcentral